RNAcentral lists this ribosomal RNA (480 nucleotides) under uncultured bacterium. RNAcentral describes it as "bacterial SSU rRNA". It matches the Rfam family "Bacterial small subunit ribosomal RNA", at positions 40 to 507 of the family's 1533-position model. The record is from RNAcentral.
CGGCGUGCUUAACACAUGCAAGUCGAGCGGAGUUAAUUGGAAGCUUGCUUUUGAUUGGCUUAGCGGCGGACGGGUGAGUAACGCGUGAGGAAUCUACCAUAAUCAGGGGGAUAACAGAUAGAAAUAUCUGCUAAUACCGCAUAAGACCACAGUACCGCAUGGUGCAGGGGUAAAAGAGUUAUGUAUCGGAUUAUGAUGACCUUGCGUCCUAUUAGCUAGUUGGUGAGGUAACGGCCCACCAAGGCGACGAUAGGUAGCCGACCUGAGAGGGUGAUCGGCCACAUUGGAACUGAGACACGGACCAAACUCCUACGGGAGGCAGCAGUGAGGAAUAUUGGUCAAUGGACGCAAGUCUGAACCAGCCAUGCCGCGUGCAGGAUGACGGCUCUAUGAGUUGUAAACUGCUUUUGUAUGAGGGUAAUAUCAGGUACGUGUACCUGCUUGAAAGUAUCAUACGAAUAAGGAUCGGCUAACUCCGUG